UAAGGGCGCACGGUGGAUGCCUUGGCACUAGAAGCCGAUGAAGGACGUUACUAACGACGAUAUGCUUUGGGGAGCUGUAAGUAAGCUUUGAUCCAGAGAUUUCCGAAUGGGGAAACCCAGCAUGAGUUAUGUCAUGUUAUCGAUAUGUGAAUACAUAGCAUAUCAGAAGGCACACCCGGAGAACUGAAACAUCUUAGUACCCGGAGGAAGAGAAAGAAAAUUCGAUUCCCUUAGUAGCGGCGAGCGAAACGGGAAGAGCCCAAACCAACAAGCUUGCUUGUUGGGGUUGUAGGACACUCUAUACGGAGUUACAAAGGACGACAUUAGACGAAUCAUCUGGAAAGAUGAAUCAAAGAAGGUAAUAAUCCUGUAGUCGAAAAUGUUGUCUCUCUUGAGUGGAUCCUGAGUACGACGGAGCACGUGAAAUUCCGUCGGAAUCUGGGAGGACCAUCUCCUAAGGCUAAAUACUCUCUAGUGACCGAUAGUGAACCAGUACCGUGAGGGAAAGGUGAAAAGCACCCCGGAAGGGGAGUGAAAUAGAACCUGAAACCGUGUGCUUACAAGUAGUCAGAGCCCGUUAAUGGGUGAUGGCGUGCCUUUUGUAGAAUGAACCGGCGAGUUACGAUUUGAUGCAAGGUUAAGCAGUAAAUGUGGAGCCGUAGCGAAAGCGAGUCUGAAUAGGGCGUUUAGUAUUUGGUCGUAGACCCGAAACCAGGUGAUCUACCCUUGGUCAGGUUGAAGUUCAGGUAACACUGAAUGGAGGACCGAACCGACUUACGUUGAAAAGUGAGCGGAUGAACUGAGGGUAGCGGAGAAAUUCCAAUCGAACCUGGAGAUAGCUGGUUCUCUCCGAAAUAGCUUUAGGGCUAGCCUCAAGUGAUGAUUAUUGGAGGUAGAGCACUGUUUGGACGAGGGGCCCCUCUCGGGUUACCGAAUUCAGACAAACUCCGAAUGCCAAUUAAUUUAACUUGGGAGUCAGAACAUGGGUGAUAAGGUCCGUGUUCGAAAGGGAAACAGCCCAGACCACCAGCUAAGGUCCCAAAAUAUAUGUUAAGUGGAAAAGGAUGUGGCGUUGCCCAGACAACUAGGAUGUUGGCUUAGAAGCAGCCAUCAUUUAAAGAGUGCGUAAUAGCUCACUAGUCGAGUGACACUGCGCCGAAAAUGUACCGGGGCUAAACAUAUUACCGAAGCUGUGGAUUGUCCUUUGGACAAUGGUAGGAGAGCGUUCUAAGGGCGUUGAAGCAUGAUCGUAAGGACAUGUGGAGCGCUUAGAAGUGAGAAUGCCGGUGUGAGUAGCGAAAGACGGGUGAGAAUCCCGUCCACCGAUUGACUAAGGUUUCCAGAGGAAGGCUCGUCCGCUCUGGGUUAGUCGGGUCCUAAGCUGAGGCCGACAGGCGUAGGCGAUGGAUAACAGGUUGAUAUUCCUGUACCACCUAUAAUCGUUUUAAUCGAUGGGGGGACGCAGUAGGAUAGGCGAAGCGUGCGAUUGGAUUGCACGUCUAAGCAGUAAGGCUGAGUAUUAGGCAAAUCCGGUACUCGUUAAGGCUGAGCUGUGAUGGGGAGAAGACAUUGUGUCUUCGAGUCGUUGAUUUCACACUGCCGAGAAAAGCCUCUAGAUAGAAAAUAGGUGCCCGUACCGCAAACCGACACAGGUAGUCAAGAUGAGAAUUCUAAGGUGAGCGAGCGAACUCUCGUUAAGGAACUCGGCAAAAUGACCCCGUAACUUCGGGAGAAGGGGUGCUCUUUAGGGUUAACGCCCAGAAGAGCCGCAGUGAAUAGGCCCAAGCGACUGUUUAUCAAAAACACAGGUCUCUGCUAAACCGUAAGGUGAUGUAUAGGGGCUGACGCCUGCCCGGUGCUGGAAGGUUAAGAGGAGUGGUUAGCUUCUGCGAAGCUACGAAUCGAAGCCCCAGUAAACGGCGGCCGUAACUAUAACGGUCCUAAGGUAGCGAAAUUCCUUGUCGGGUAAGUUCCGACCCGCACGAAAGGCGUAACGAUUUGGGCACUGUCUCAACGAGAGACUCGGUGAAAUCAUAGUACCUGUGAAGAUGCAGGUUACCCGCGACAGGACGGAAAGACCCCGUGGAGCUUUACUGUAGCCUGAUAUUGAAAUUCGGCACAGCUUGUACAGGAUAGGUAGGAGCCUUUGAAACGUGAGCGCUAGCUUACGUGGAGGCGCUGGUGGGAUACUACCCUAGCUGUGUUGGCUUUCUAACCCGCACCACUUA
RNAcentral lists this ribosomal RNA (2228 nucleotides) under Staphylococcus aureus. RNAcentral describes it as "partial 23S ribosomal RNA". It matches the Rfam family "Bacterial large subunit ribosomal RNA", at positions 12 to 2238 of the family's 2925-position model. The record is from RNAcentral. Lineage: Bacteria; Bacillati; Bacillota; Bacilli; Caryophanales; Staphylococcaceae.